Long non-coding RNA from Sorex fumeus (smoky shrew), 740 nucleotides. RefSeq lists it as uncharacterized. The transcript has 6 exons. The record is from RefSeq and is a predicted model, not a curated record. NCBI's taxonomy places the organism in Eukaryota, Metazoa, Chordata, Mammalia, Eulipotyphla, Soricidae.
AGCUAAAAGAAGCCAUGAGGUAAAGAAUGAGAGUUCUUCUAAGGACAUAUCCCAAGGAAACAAAGCAAAAAUCUUAAGCCAACAUUAUAAUUACUGCCUUUUCGUCUGAGAGCAAGUUUCUAAAAAUCAAAGGUGUAACUAUUUAAUACUGCCUUUGUUUCAUCUAGUCAUGUCUUGGUUAGACUACAGAUUCAAAGAUCAGAAGUUACAGAAAAGCUCUCUCACCGUUCAAACUAAAUCUUUGCUGUAUUAAAGGCAGGACUUUCACAGCAGAAACGCCCGUGCUGAACAGGAGACGAGAUCAUUCUUGCCAGUUGAAUUUAAAAGAUAUCAGAAUGAAGGUGAACAUGAGAAUAAGGAAAAAUCAAUGAAGAACAAAGAGCAAUGCAGCUUGGAGAACAAGAAAGGUGAAAAUAUAUGAUAGAACACACGAAGACAGGAAUCCAACAUGACCAAUAUGGAGGCUCAUUGUUUUUCUAAAUGAAGGCAAAGUGAGAAGACAAAUUUGGAUUUGAAUCAAAGAUCCUCUGAAGACAAUCCUGUGCACAACAGAAGACAGAAUAUGCAAUGCCUAAGUGGUAGCCUUCACUGAAUGCAGUCAUUCAAAUGAUGUUUCUGGUCUACCUUCAGAGAGCAUUCAUUGGCUCACUCUUAAAAUCAACUCUGGUCAAAGUAUGGUCCUCAGCUAUCAGAUACUUGCAUGCAUCUUAACAAAUUGAAAAUAAAAGAAAAUAUAUACA